CUGGAGACACACGAGACCUGAAGCUGGAAUGACACACUCGGCAGAUUGGAGACACACGGAACUGGGAGCUGGAGCGACACUCUCUGGAGACUGGGGAAGACAGGAGCUGGGAACGAGGUUCGGGAUACUAUCAGUGUCUCCUGACUGUCUCCCAGGCUGGGGCUAAAUGUCAGAGUUGGAGGAUGAGACAGACAGGGAGCUGGAGCAGAGCACGUCAAACUCACUGAGGUUCCCUCCUUCCUCUCCAGUGUGGACGGAGUCAGAGUCGGUCUGGGAGGAUCAUCUGGUGGGAAGGAGCAGGGGAUGGUCACACAGGAUCCUUUCAGAACCUCUAUAGUUUUCGGCACAGUGACCGUAAACUCUCCACACAGGGCACCUGAAACACAAGAAGCAAAUCUUUGAAUAAGAACAAGUAAAUACUACUUCACAGUGAUGAGGAAAUGUUACUGUUUUGUUUCCUUGGUAAAAUCUUACCACUAUGUUUAUUUAUAAAUUAAUCUAAAAAGGACAACUGUAAAGAUUUUGUUUCCACAGUGUUUUCCUUUUUAGAAAAAUGGAAAGUUCACAAAUGCAAACAUUUUUGUAGUUCACUGUGUCCUUCAUUUGCUCCAGCAUGUAUUAUACAGCACUAUACUGUUGUACUGUGAUUGCUUGACUAACAUUGCGUAGUUAUAGUUUUUAUUAUUGAUCCAAAUGUGAAUGAACGUCAACUCACUUUGCAGCA
Siniperca chuatsi (mandarin fish) is the source of this 724-nucleotide long non-coding RNA. RefSeq lists it as uncharacterized. The transcript is spliced from 3 exons. The record is from RefSeq and is a predicted model, not a curated record. Lineage: Eukaryota; Metazoa; Chordata; Actinopteri; Centrarchiformes; Sinipercidae.